CCUACGGGAGGCAGCAGUGGGGAAUAUUGGGCAAUGGGCGCAAGCCUGACCCAGCAACGCCGCGUGCAGGAAGAAGGCUUUCGGGUUGUAAACUUCUUUUCUGAGGGACGAAGAAAGUGACGGUACCUCAGGAAUAAGCCACGGCUAACUACGUGCCAGCAGCCGCGGUAAUACGUAGGUGGCAAGCGUUAUACGGAUAUAUUGGGUGUAAAGGGCGUGUAGGCGGGAAUGCAAGUCAGAGGUGAAAACUCAGGGCUCAACCCUCUGCCUGCAUUGGAAACUGGUAUUCUUGAGUGCUGGAGAGGCAAGCGGAAUUCCGUGUGUAGCGGUGAAAUGCGUAGAUAUACGGAGGAACACCAGUGGCGAAGGCGGAUUGCUGGACAGUAACUGACGCUGAGGCGCGAAAGCGUGGGGAGCAAACAGGAUUAGAUACCCCAGUAGUC
This 443-nucleotide ribosomal RNA is filed under the name uncultured bacterium. RNAcentral describes it as "partial 16S ribosomal RNA". It matches the Rfam family "Bacterial small subunit ribosomal RNA", at positions 338 to 795 of the family's 1533-position model. The record is from RNAcentral.